GAUGGGUUUCCUCUGCUGCAUUCACCCUGCUUUCUUUGAAGAAAGAAGGAGAGGGGAAAUACGAGAACGGCACGAUUGUGCCAAGGACAGCUGCUGUUGGAGUGCAUCGCCUUAAUUUGGUUGUACUGUGUGCUACACUACAAGCGGGAGCAUAUGAAUGACUCUCGGCAAUGGAUAUCUUGGCUCUCGUUUCGAUGAAGAACGUAGCGAAAUGCGACACUUGGUGUGAAUUGCAGAAUCCCGUGAACCAUCGAGUCUUUGAAUGCAAGUUGCGCUUGAGACCUUUAGGUCGAGGGCACGUCUGCCUGGGCGUCAUGCCUUGCGUCAUUCUAAACAUCAACCCACCUUAAAUAAAAUUGUGGGUAACGGUGGAUGUGGAGAUUGGCCCUCCGUGCUUUUGAUGUGCGGUUGGUUUAAGUGACGGUCGUCGCUAGGAUUGCACGCGGCGAAUGUUGAUCGAGUUCAUGCACGAAGUCUUCAGCUGCGUACAUGAGUCCUAACCAUGAUGUAUUAUAAUUGAAACCAUUAUCAAUGUUUGCACUAUUCGCAAGCAUGGACC
RNAcentral lists this unclassified non-coding RNA (559 nucleotides) under Allium tricoccum (wild leek). Its description in RNAcentral is "sequence contains ITS1, 5.8S rRNA gene, ITS2". The stretch from base 160 to 315 matches the Rfam family "5.8S ribosomal RNA". Lineage: Eukaryota; Viridiplantae; Streptophyta; Magnoliopsida; Asparagales; Amaryllidaceae. The record is from RNAcentral.